Long non-coding RNA from Terrapene triunguis (Three-toed box turtle), 226 nucleotides. RefSeq lists it as uncharacterized. The record is from RefSeq and is a predicted model, not a curated record. Lineage: Eukaryota; Metazoa; Chordata; Testudines; Emydidae. The transcript is spliced from 3 exons.
GGCGACACAGCAGUCUCGGUGCUGAUUGUCCAGAAAAUGGGAGAAGAGAGCGCCGAAGCGACAAGCGAUACCAGUAGAGGGGUUAAUGACUCAAUGCUGCCGGGUCACGGACAAGUGGAAGAAAGGAGAAGAGAUGUGGAUUUCAGCCUAAAAUGCAUUAAAGAUAAACGGAUCCCAAUUACCGUUACUGUCGUCAUCACAGCUUUGAUCAUCACCGUAAUUGCAC